Molecule: non-coding RNA, 703 nt
Organism: Nylanderia fulva
Lineage: Eukaryota; Metazoa; Arthropoda; Insecta; Hymenoptera; Formicidae
Source: RefSeq, a predicted model, not a curated record
AAAUUGAAACGAUGGCAGGAGUAAAUGUGGAGAUUCCAAAGAAAGUAUACACAUGCGGAUUAUGCGAAAUAAUUCUUGGGGACCUUGAGGAUGAAGAAACAUGGUCCCAUGAAUGUUUUGCAAAUUAUUCAGAGAUUGUUUUUGAUGUGAAUAGCUUGUAUUAUAUCCCAAAUGUGAAGAUGGAAGCAUUGUGCGCCGAAGUGCGAUUAAUGGAGCAGAGCAGAUUGUAAUAGAAUCGCCUCUUCCGACACAAGAGCCGUGCCCAGUGGAAAACCUGGAAGAACUUAUCAUUACAGAAGUGUCGGCACGAGAACUGUUAUGGAAUCAAAAACUGAGUAUAACAAAACGUGACAGGCAAACUGUACAACAACUUUGGAAGCAAGUGGCUAAUGCGACGAAUGGCGAAUGUUCUGUCGAUGAGGUAAAAAAAAAAUGGAAGAACUUAAGGGAUCGUUACAUGAAAAUAAUCUCUCUUGAAAAGUUGCCAAGUGGAUCAGGAAGUAAACCAUCUCGCAGAAAGUGGCAACAUUACGAAUUGUUGUCUUUCUUACGUGACACUUCUUUGGAAAAAGAGACAGUUUCAAAUAUGAUGAGUCGUGAGGAAGACACUAGCAAUGAUGACACGGAAAUCCAAAGUGUGGACGUCGUAGAAGUCAACGGAAUGAAAAGAAAACGAAAAAGUACUGAGCGCGAAGAAGAAAGA